UCCUUUCCCACUGGGUACAGAGCUUGUGCCU
RNAcentral lists this non-coding RNA (31 nucleotides) under Rattus norvegicus (Norway rat). The record is from RNAcentral. Lineage: Eukaryota; Metazoa; Chordata; Mammalia; Rodentia; Muridae.